UACGUAGGGGGCGAGCGUUGUCCGGAAUUAUUGGGCGUAAAGAGCGUGUAGGCGGUCUGGUAAGUCUGUCGUGAAAGGCUGGGGCUCAACCCUGGACGUGCGAUGGAUACUGCCAGACUAGAGGAUGGUAGAGGCGAGUGGAAUUCCGAGUGUAGCGGUGAAAUGCGCAGAUAUUCGGAGGAACACCAGUAGCGAAGGCGGCUCGCUGGCCCAUUCCUGACGCUGAGACGCGAAAGCGUGGGGAGCAAACAGGAUUAGAUACCCUGGUAGUCCACGCCGUAAACGAUGAACACUAGGUGUUGGGGGAGUCGAAUCCCUCGGUGCCGAAGCUAACGCGUUAAGUGUUCCGCCUGGGGAGUACGGCCGCAAGGCUA
Molecule: ribosomal RNA, 374 nt
Filed under: uncultured Rubrobacteraceae bacterium
Lineage: Bacteria; Bacillati; Actinomycetota; Rubrobacteria; Rubrobacterales; Rubrobacteraceae
Description: bacterial SSU rRNA
Rfam family: Bacterial small subunit ribosomal RNA
Source: RNAcentral